UGGCAGCGGCCGGGAGGGCGCGGCGUGGGACGGACGGAGCGAGGGGGCUGCUUGCUGCCCGCCUCAGUCAGACGCGGCUCCGCUCCGGCCUCCGGGAGAAAACAGUCCCCAGCGCCACCUCCACGGCCGCUGCUACCGCUACUGAGCCAACAAAGGGGCGUGCGUCACCGCGUCGCGCUGCGUCGCGCGUCACACCUCCGUGCGUCACUGCGCCCGCCCCGCCGCCCCUGCGUGCGGUGUGGGAGACCCCACGGCUCGGCCCUCGGGGGCCCGGGAGCUUGGCGGCGCGGGAAGAGCCUUCGCGGUUCGGUCCGCCGCGGUUUUGGGCCGGCCGGCGACCCGUACAGCUUUUUCCGAGAAGCGGCUGCGGCCUCCUCGUCACCGAGACCCGGAUCCUGUAGGUGCGGGUUUCGCCGCAGGCCUUGCGAGCAGGCCUGUUCAGACUUCCCGCGGGGAAGGAGGCCUUCCUACGCUGCCUGGCAGGCACCGACCUCCCGCCCGCGCGAGGGUCAUCCCGGGGACCCCUGCUGUUCAGCUAAAAUCCCUGUUGCCCAAGUUCCGGAAGGGAAGUCAGCUGCACGCGGAGCCUCUGACCGGGCGACAGGUGUUGCUGUGUUUUCCCAGGAAGAAGGUCUCCAUAGCAACUUGAAGAUUGUGUGGAAGAGGAGUGGACCUGAUAUGCUUGUCUUCACGACACUCCCUGCCUAGGGCUUCUCUAAG
Molecule: long non-coding RNA, 720 nt
Organism: Chinchilla lanigera (long-tailed chinchilla)
Lineage: Eukaryota; Metazoa; Chordata; Mammalia; Rodentia; Chinchillidae
Source: Ensembl